GUGCUCGCUUCAGCAGCACAUAUACUGAAAUUGGGAUGGCACAGAGAUGAGCAUGGCCCUUGAGGAAGGAUGACACAAACUUGUGAAGCUUUCCAUAUUUCU
Molecule: small nuclear RNA, 102 nt
Filed under: Catagonus wagneri (Chacoan peccary)
Lineage: Eukaryota; Metazoa; Chordata; Mammalia; Artiodactyla; Tayassuidae
Source: RNAcentral